AUGGACGCCCGGGUGUCACCAGCGCUCUCUCCGGAUCCACCUGCUGGUCCUCACAACAUCCAGAGCAGGGGGAACAGAGCCAGGAACCAGACAAGCAACGGGAUCCGAGGCCUUCGUCCUAUCCGCCUGCACAGUCUGAUCCUGUCCACUUCCAUCCUCCCUCGCCUUAUCACUAUCCUCUACUGCGCCCCGCGCGCCCUUUUUGACCAAUUCCAACUCACCAGUUGUCGUCUGUUCGACCGCCUGCGCCACCAACUCUGGCCGCUCCACCAAGCUGCGCAGCAGACCGUUGGGGGCCCUGGUCGGCUCCCCCACCACCCGAUUGGGCACCUCCCGAUUCGGUCCCCUCUGACCCGGCAAUGUCAUGGGGGUAGCCUCCAAUCUGACGGGCCCACCCGCCCCAUGAGAACCUGCGGGAACGAACGACCAUCACCACCCGCCGCCGGAGUGACGCCGGAGCGAUCCAAACCUCGGCGGUCCCGGACACCUCUCGUCCAAGAUUGCACAGACCAAUCUCCUCCUGCAAACGAUCCAUCCGAGCUAUCAGGCAAACCGCUCUGCCCACUGUCACUGUCCGCGUCCGAGCACCGUCUCCACAUCUCUGGUGGCGAGAAAUCCCUGAGCCUCCCAAUGUGGAUCAGCAUGGGGUACUCCAACAGCUGCCGGAAAGCUGGCCACUGCUUCGCAGGGUUCGUCGACACCGGCUCCGGCACCCAUAGCCGGCGACAGACCGGAACCACAUCGGGAUCCACACACCACGCCCUCAGCUUGAAGACUGAGAGAUCCUCGCGGUUCUUCGUCUCCGGCACCAGACUAUCGAUCAGGCAAGAGCUGCCGAGCAGUUCCGCCGCCGUCUCCUUGGUCCAUGUGUGGGAAGGCACCCCCUCGAUCAGGAUGUUAGCCUAA
RNAcentral lists this ribosomal RNA (906 nucleotides) under Triticum aestivum (bread wheat). RNAcentral's name for it is "partial small subunit ribosomal RNA". The record is from RNAcentral. Lineage: Eukaryota; Viridiplantae; Streptophyta; Magnoliopsida; Poales; Poaceae.